This 209-nucleotide ribosomal RNA is filed under the name uncultured bacterium. RNAcentral describes it as "partial 16S ribosomal RNA". It matches the Rfam family "Bacterial small subunit ribosomal RNA", at positions 1296 to 1500 of the family's 1533-position model. The record is from RNAcentral.
GACUGCAGUCUGCAACUCGACUGCACGAAGCUGGAAUCGCUAGUAAUCGCGGAUCAGCACGCCGCGGUGAAUACGUUCCCGGGCCUUGUACACACCGCCCGUCACACCAUGGAAGUCUGCAAUGCCCGAAGCCGGUGGCCUAACCACUUAUGUGGAAGGAGCCGUCUAAGGCAGGGCAGAUGACUGGGGUGAAGUCGUAACAAGGUACC